This 217-nucleotide long non-coding RNA is filed under the name Pelobates cultripes (western spadefoot toad). The record is from RNAcentral. Lineage: Eukaryota; Metazoa; Chordata; Amphibia; Anura; Pelobatidae.
CAGGGGGGGUUGGGUUACCCCCUUGCUAAUCAAAUUUAUCAGGCUAAUAUACUAGUUCAUGCCAGUAAAUUACAAUUAACCAACUCUAUAGACCAAGCCUGGUAUAAAAUCGAAGCAGCCAGACUUGGUUUAGAUAACCUUGAAUUUCUUUUAUGGAGAGAGGCAAGUCAGAACAGGCAUCUGUGUGAAAUGGGUUCUCACUGUCCUUCGACCUUAU